AGCUGAUUGGUGUAGUGGUAUCACGUUGGACUCCAACUCCAAAAACGAGGGUUCGAUUCCUUCAUUGGCUG
Molecule: transfer RNA, 71 nt
Filed under: Streptomyces tamarix
Lineage: Bacteria; Bacillati; Actinomycetota; Actinomycetes; Kitasatosporales; Streptomycetaceae
Description: tRNA-Trp
Rfam family: tRNA
About the family: Transfer RNA (tRNA) molecules are approximately 80 nucleotides in length. Their secondary structure includes four short double-helical elements and three loops (D, anti-codon, and T loops).
Source: RNAcentral